Molecule: ribosomal RNA, 476 nt
Filed under: uncultured anaerobic ammonium-oxidizing bacterium
Lineage: Bacteria
Description: bacterial SSU rRNA
Rfam family: Bacterial small subunit ribosomal RNA
Source: RNAcentral
UUCGCAAUGCCCGAAAGGGUGACGAUGCGACGCCGCGUGAGCGAAGAAGGCCCUAGGGUUGUAAAGCUCUGUCGAGGGUUAUGAAAUAUAGAUGGGUUAAUACCCCAUUUAUUUGACAAAAGCCCAAAAGGAAGCCACGGCUAACUCUGUGCCAGCAGCCGCGGUAAUACAGAGGUGGCGAGCGUUGUUCGGUAUUAUUGGGCGUAAAGAGCACGUAGGUGGUUUUGUAAGUCAGGUGUGAAAGCCUUCUGUCCAAAGGAAGAACGGCAUCUGAAACUGCAGAUCUUGAGUGUAGGAGGGGAGAGUGGAACUUCUGGUGGAGCGGUGAAAUGCGUAGAUAUCAGAAGGAACGUCGGCGGCGAAAGCGACUCUCUGGCCUAUUACUGACACUGAGGUGCGAAAGUUAGGGGAGCAAACGGGAUUAGAUACCCCGGUAGUCCUAACCGUAAACGAUGGGCACUAAGUAGAGGGGUUUU